CUUUAUGAGGACAUCAUAGGUCGCUGGAUUUCAACAUUCAGCGCUAAGAGGGAACCCGGUGCGCAUCGCUUUUCGAGCGGUGCAAUCCCGGGACUGCCCCCGCAACUGUGAGCGGCGAGUUCCUGUCGGAUAAAGGUCACUGAUGCUUCGCGUGUCGGGAAGGCCAGACAGAGAGCAGCGACCCGCGAGUCAGGAGACCUGCCUGUGAUGGUGUUUUCACG
Molecule: non-coding RNA, 221 nt
Filed under: Hyphomicrobium sp. ghe19
Lineage: Bacteria; Pseudomonadati; Pseudomonadota; Alphaproteobacteria; Hyphomicrobiales; Hyphomicrobiaceae
Source: RNAcentral